GUCUCAGUGGUGUAGUGGUUUAAUACUUCCAAUGUUGUUGUUAUUAGGUUGUGAGUUCAAUUCCCGCCUGGGACA
Molecule: transfer RNA, 75 nt
Organism: Sphaerobolus stellatus SS14
Lineage: Eukaryota; Fungi; Basidiomycota; Agaricomycetes; Geastrales; Sphaerobolaceae
Rfam family: tRNA
About the family: Transfer RNA (tRNA) molecules are approximately 80 nucleotides in length. Their secondary structure includes four short double-helical elements and three loops (D, anti-codon, and T loops). Further hydrogen bonds mediate the characteristic L-shaped molecular structure. tRNAs have two regions of fundamental functional importance: the anti-codon, which is responsible for specific mRNA codon recognition, and the 3' end, to which the tRNAs corresponding amino acid is attached (by aminoacyl-tRNA synthetases). tRNAs cope with the degeneracy of the genetic code in two manners: having more than one tRNA (with a specific anti-codon) for a particular amino acid; and 'wobble' base-pairing, i.e. permitting non-standard base-pairing at the 3rd anti-codon position.
Source: Rfam